AGUUGUUACUAUGUUUUCGCAGAGCCACAGGUUUCGGCUGCUGCGCCUUCCGCGGGUCAGGAUCGAGGCAAGGGCGUCGCGAGUUAGAGCCCUACCCGACGUGCUGAGCUAGAGGUGCUCCUACUGCAGGUAGAUGUUUUGUUUCGAGUUUAUGUACAUAGUGGACUUAACUCGCCAGUGCGAGUAGCUUUGUAUUUUGGAUCUGAACUAUGUAUAUGAAACUCAGUUUGUUUAGCUUCUGUUCUCUCUAACAGCUCUCUACUACUGUUCGUAGUAGUGUUUGAUUUACAGGUACAGCUAUCGCUUCGUAUACAGGGGAAAUUCCUUUGUAUACGGCGGAUUUGUCGGCGCGCCCGGAAAAAGUGUAAUCCGGGGCGUGACAAAAAAGAUAUUAAAAAUUUAGAAUCUUAAUUUUAAUAAUUGAAAUUCACAAAUACAGAUCCUUUAUAUUUGGAUUGGCCUAAAACCCAAAUAGGAAAAAUUUGUAAUAUAUAUAUGAGUCCCGCUAUGAUACUUUUAAAAACACUAAGCACUUGGUGUUUAUAAGUUUUCCGCCGUUAAAUCUACAUUUUUGACAAUUUCAAUCCGUUAGAUCAUAUUAUUUAAUCAACCACCCACUCAACUCUAGGGGAUCACUAUCAUCCUAACCGCACAUCCCUUAAUCCAAGGGCCGAAACUUACAUGCACUAAUGACUUGAUUCUUUUGAAAGUAUAGGAGUUUAAUUUAUAUACUAGUGUAGUAACCCACGCGUUGUCGCGGAUAAAUAAUAAAAGAAAAAUUAAAAAAUAUUGAAGAGUAAGAAGAAAGAAGUUUAGAAAAUAAAAAUUCAAGUAUGUUUUUUUUUUUUUUUUUUUGAGAUAUAGGUAGCACGCUACCUGCUUCAUUUAUUUCAUUUAGUUUAUUUCAUUUAGAAAUAAAAAUUCAAGUGUGUUUUAUUUUUUUGAUAGGGAAACGUAUGAAUUGAACAAAUCAAUAUGGCCAUUGAAAAUUAAUAACUGUCCAGAAUCAGCAUUCAAAAAAAAAAACCUACAAAGGUCAUAUGAAGAUGGAGAUAAUAAUAUUGCGAUGAUGACGAUGAUGGCGAUGAAAAUCUGAUGAAAAUUUACAGGAUUUUGCAUCCUUUUGGGCAUGGAAUGAUCAAAAGUUACGGAUCAAAACUGCCACAUCAAUUAUGAAAUAAAAAAUAACCUCUAAAUUAAUCAAAAUAAUACAUAUAAAUCAAAUCCUUGAUUGAUACAAUCACAAUAUCAAAAAUAAUGCAAAUAAAUUAAAUUCUAAAUGAAUACGUAGUAAGAAUUCGAGAUUAAAAUAAAGAAAAGAAAAAUUAGGUUUAGGAAUUUCAAACUUACCCCUCGAACCGUCCAUUAUUGCUCUCUAAUUAGCUUCCUCUAUUGAAAAAACCGUUCGAUUACCUUCUUUUUCCAUAAAUCCGAAGAGAUUGACAUUGAUAGAAGUCCUAUAAACACUCUUUUGAUUCGGAGGGGGUUCGGGUCGAGUCGGAUUGGCAUGGAUUAGGGCUUAGAAGACUUCCUUACUCUUCCCCAAUCUCUAAAUCUGAAAGUAGUAACUAUUCAUCUUCUCCUUUUUUAAUUUUGUAUGUUAGGAAUUAUUUGUGAGAGAAGAAAGGACUAAUUUUGAAGAGAAAAUGUAUAAAUUAAAAAGCACAUUGAUUAUAUGUCAUUGAAUAGAGAGAAGGGGAGGAGAAAAGUCAAGAGUAAAAAUCAAUUCAUAAAAAUUAAUUUUGAAGAGGAAACGUAUAAAUUAAAAAGCAUAUUGAUUACGUGUCAUUGAAUAGAGAGGAAGGGAGUGGAAAAACCAAGAGUAAAAAUCAAUUAAAAAAAAGGUUAGUGAGGGUGGAGAAAAACUUGCCACGUGGCAAAAUUAUUGAGAAUUCAUAUAGAGUAAUAGAUAAUAGAUAUAUAUAUAUAUAUAUAUAUAGAGAGAGAGAGAGAGAGAGAGAGAGAGAGAGUGUAAAGCUACUAUACUAUCCGAAGCAUAGAGAAUCUGGUGCUUCCGACUUUUUGGCCCUUAGAUCAAUCCUUUUGAUCAUUUCUAAAAUUUGGAUUAAUACUAUUACUCUGUAGAGAUCACUCAACCUUAAGAAUACUACUCAAUCAUAGGGGAACCACAAUCAUCCUAACUGUACAAUUCUUGAUCCAAGAGUCAAAAAGUCGGAAGUAUCAAAUCUUCUAUAUUUCUGAUAGCAUAGUAGCACUGCACUAUGGGUCUGUUUGGCCUAGCUUCUUGAGAAGUGAUUUCUGUAAAAGUGAUUUUGGUUUAGAGAAGUGAUUUUGGUAAAAAGCUGUAGAGCGUUUGGUUGAAUUUAGAAAAAAGUGAUUUUUCUGAAGUGAUUUUCUAAAGCUGUUUGGCAAAAAAAUUUUGAUGUUUGCAUAUAUAAAUAUUUUUACUAAAUUUUAUUUUUAAAAUAAUUUAAAAUUUGAAUUUAAAUUAAAAUUUUAAAUUUAAUUAAAAGUAUAAUUUUUAAGUUUCAAACUUGUACAAAAAUAAAUUUGAAAUUUCAAAAUUUUAAAUUUAAAAUUUGAUUUUAAAAUCUAAAUUUAAAUUUUAAAUUUAAAUUUCAAAUUUUAAAUUUCAAAUUUAAAUUUUAAAAUUAAAAUUAAAAUUUAAAUUUAAAAUUCAAAUUUUUAAUUUUGAAAUUUAAAUUUCAAUUUCAUUUAAAUUUAAAUUUAAAUUUAUUUUGGGAAUUUUUGAAAUUUGAACUUUUUGAAAUUUGAAAUUUGAAAUUUGAAAUUUUAAAAUUGAAAUUUGAAAUUUGAAAUUUGAAAUUUGAAAUUUGAAAUUUGAAAUUUGAAAUUUGAAAUUUGAAAAUUUGAAUUUUGAAUUUUGAAAAUUUGAGAUUUGAAACUUAAAUUUAAAAUUUUAAAUGUAAAUUUUAAAUUUGAAAAGUUGAGAUUUAAAAAUUCAAAUAUGAAUUUAAAAUUUAAAAUUUAAAUUUAAUGUUAAAUUUAUACUUUGAAUCUAAAAUAAAAAAAAAAGAAGUUUGAGUUCAAAAUCAGAAUCAGUUUUGGAGAAGCAGCUUUUUUCUGUUUCUGAUUCUAGAGACUUCAAAAUCAGUUUUCUGAUUUUAAAAAGCAGAAUCAGAUUUUCAGAAUGUUAUUCCCAAAUGCUCUACUGAGCUCAAAAGUGAUUUUGAGCUCAGAAUCACUUUUAAAUAGCUAGGCCAAACACCUCCUAUAUAUAUAUAUGUGUGUGUGUGUGUGUGUCGAAAAGUCAGAUACUUGAUUUUUUUAAAUCAGUAUAUUCAGAAAUAAAGCGGGAAAAAUAAAAAGUUAUCCCCGCUAUUUCGCCGUACAUGGUGUUGUUUGGCUGGAAUAUUUUAUUCCAGUCAAACUUUACUUUUUCCGGUUAUUCAUUCAGAACGAAUAAAUUAUUCAAUCUUUUUGGUGGAAUGCAAUUUUAAGGUUUAAUUCUAAGCUUUAUUAAGAUUAUAAAUUGAUCUGAAGUAAAUUAUGUAGACAUGAUAUAUUUUACAUAUUAUAAUAAAUUAUUUUGAUUAUAAAAAUUAUUAAUUAUACUAUAUUAAUACAUAUUAUUUAUACUUAAAUAUUAUAAUAAGUUGUUUUUAUUAAAUUUAAGUUUAAGUAAAAUUUGAAAAAAAAAUUUCAUAAUAAAUUAUUUUUAUUAAAUCAUAGUAUU
Molecule: long non-coding RNA, 3658 nt
Filed under: Ananas comosus (pineapple)
Lineage: Eukaryota; Viridiplantae; Streptophyta; Magnoliopsida; Poales; Bromeliaceae
Description: long non-coding RNA (ACOM_LNC000211)
Source: RNAcentral